RNAcentral lists this ribosomal RNA (2929 nucleotides) under Escherichia coli. RNAcentral's name for it is "23S ribosomal RNA". It matches the Rfam family "Bacterial large subunit ribosomal RNA". Lineage: Bacteria; Pseudomonadati; Pseudomonadota; Gammaproteobacteria; Enterobacterales; Enterobacteriaceae. The record is from RNAcentral.
GGGUUGUGAGGUUAAGCGACUAAGCGUACACGGUGGAUGCCCUGGCAGUCAGAGGCGAUGAAGGACGUGCUAAUCUGCGAUAAGCGUCGGUAAGGUGAUAUGAACCGUUAUAACCGGCGAUUUCCGAAUGGGGAAACCCAGUGUGUUUCGACACACUAUCAUUAACUGAAUCCAUAGGUUAAUGAGGCGAACCGGGGGAACUGAAACAUCUAAGUACCCCGAGGAAAAGAAAUCAACCGAGAUUCCCCCAGUAGCGGCGAGCGAACGGGGAGGAGCCCAGAGCCUGAAUCAGUGUGUGUGUUAGUGGAAGCGUCUGGAAAGGCGCGCGAUACAGGGUGACAGCCCCGUACACAAAAAUGCACAUGCUGUGAGCUCGAUGAGUAGGGCGGGACACGUGGUAUCCUGUCUGAAUAUGGGGGGACCAUCCUCCAAGGCUAAAUACUCCUGACUGACCGAUAGUGAACCAGUACCGUGAGGGAAAGGCGAAAAGAACCCCGGCGAGGGGAGUGAAAAAGAACCUGAAACCGUGUACGUACAAGCAGUGGGAGCCUCUUUUAUGGGGUGACUGCGUACCUUUUGUAUAAUGGGUCAGCGACUUAUAUUCUGUAGCAAGGUUAACCGAAUAGGGGAGCCGAAGGGAAACCGAGUCUUAACUGGGCGUUAAGUUGCAGGGUAUAGACCCGAAACCCGGUGAUCUAGCCAUGGGCAGGUUGAAGGUUGGGUAACACUAACUGGAGGACCGAACCGACUAAUGUUGAAAAAUUAGCGGAUGACUUGUGGCUGGGGGUGAAAGGCCAAUCAAACCGGGAGAUAGCUGGUUCUCCCCGAAAGCUAUUUAGGUAGCGCCUCGUGAAUUCAUCUCCGGGGGUAGAGCACUGUUUCGGCAAGGGGGUCAUCCCGACUUACCAACCCGAUGCAAACUGCGAAUACCGGAGAAUGUUAUCACGGGAGACACACGGCGGGUGCUAACGUCCGUCGUGAAGAGGGAAACAACCCAGACCGCCAGCUAAGGUCCCAAAGUCAUGGUUAAGUGGGAAACGAUGUGGGAAGGCCCAGACAGCCAGGAUGUUGGCUUAGAAGCAGCCAUCAUUUAAAGAAAGCGUAAUAGCUCACUGGUCGAGUCGGCCUGCGCGGAAGAUGUAACGGGGCUAAACCAUGCACCGAAGCUGCGGCAGCGACACUGUGUGUUGUUGGGUAGGGGAGCGUUCUGUAAGCCUGUGAAGGUGUACUGUGAGGUAUGCUGGAGGUAUCAGAAGUGCGAAUGCUGACAUAAGUAACGAUAAAGCGGGUGAAAAGCCCGCUCGCCGGAAGACCAAGGGUUCCUGUCCAACGUUAAUCGGGGCAGGGUGAGUCGACCCCUAAGGCGAGGCCGAAAGGCGUAGUCGAUGGGAAACAGGUUAAUAUUCCUGUACUUGGUGUUACUGCGAAGGGGGGACGGAGAAGGCUAUGUUGGCCGGGCGACGGUUGUCCCGGUUUAAGCGUGUAGGCUGGUUUUCCAGGCAAAUCCGGAAAAUCAAGGCUGAGGCGUGAUGACGAGGCACUACGGUGCUGAAGCAACAAAUGCCCUGCUUCCAGGAAAAGCCUCUAAGCAUCAGGUAACAUCAAAUCGUACCCCAAACCGACACAGGUGGUCAGGUAGAGAAUACCAAGGCGCUUGAGAGAACUCGGGUGAAGGAACUAGGCAAAAUGGUGCCGUAACUUCGGGAGAAGGCACGCUGAUAUGUAGGUGAAGCGACUUGCUCGUGGAGCUGAAAUCAGUCGAAGAUACCAGCUGGCUGCAACUGUUUAUUAAAAACACAGCACUGUGCAAACACGAAAGUGGACGUAUACGGUGUGACGCCUGCCCGGUGCCGGAAGGUUAAUUGAUGGGGUCAGCGCAAGCGAAGCUCUUGAUCGAAGCCCCGGUAAACGGCGGCCGUAACUAUAACGGUCCUAAGGUAGCGAAAUUCCUUGUCGGGUAAGUUCCGACCUGCACGAAUGGCGUAAUGAUGGCCAGGCUGUCUCCACCCGAGACUCAGUGAAAUUGAACUCGCUGUGAAGAUGCAGUGUACCCGCGGCAAGACGGAAAGACCCCGUGAACCUUUACUAUAGCUUGACACUGAACAUUGAGCCUUGAUGUGUAGGAUAGGUGGGAGGCUUUGAAGUGUGGACGCCAGUCUGCAUGGAGCCGACCUUGAAAUACCACCCUUUAAUGUUUGAUGUUCUAACGUGGACCCGUGAUCCGGGUUGCGGACAGUGUCUGGUGGGUAGUUUGACUGGGGCGGUCUCCUCCUAAAGAGUAACGGAGGAGCACGAAGGUUGGCUAAUCCUGGUCGGACAUCAGGAGGUUAGUGCAAUGGCAUAAGCCAGCUUGACUGCGAGCGUGACGGCGCGAGCAGGUGCGAAAGCAGGUCAUAGUGAUCCGGUGGUUCUGAAUGGAAGGGCCAUCGCUCAACGGAUAAAAGGUACUCCGGGGAUAACAGGCUGAUACCGCCCAAGAGUUCAUAUCGACGGCGGUGUUUGGCACCUCGAUGUCGGCUCAUCACAUCCUGGGGCUGAAGUAGGUCCCAAGGGUAUGGCUGUUCGCCAUUUAAAGUGGUACGCGAGCUGGGUUUAGAACGUCGUGAGACAGUUCGGUCCCUAUCUGCCGUGGGCGCUGGAGAACUGAGGGGGGCUGCUCCUAGUACGAGAGGACCGGAGUGGACGCAUCACUGGUGUUCGGGUUGUCAUGCCAAUGGCACUGCCCGGUAGCUAAAUGCGGAAGAGAUAAGUGCUGAAAGCAUCUAAGCACGAAACUUGCCCCGAGAUGAGUUCUCCCUGACCCUUUAAGGGUCCUGAAGGAACGUUGAAGACGACGACGUUGAUAGGCCGGGUGUGUAAGCGCAGCGAUGCGUUGAGCUAACCGGUACUAAUGAACCGUGAGGCUUAACCUUACAACGCCGAAGCUGUU